GGGUUGUGAGGUUAAGCGACUAAGCGUACACGGUGGAUGCCCUGGCAGUCAGAGGCGAUGAAGGGCGUGCUAAUCUGCGAUAAGCGCCGGUAAGGUGAUAUGAACCGUUAUAACCGGCGAUACCCGAAUGGGGAAACCCAGUGUGACUCGUCACACUAUCAUUAACUGAAUCCAUAGGUUAAUGAGGCGAACCGGGGGAACUGAAACAUCUAAGUACCCCGAGGAAAAGAAAUCAACCGAGAUUCCCCCAGUAGCGGCGAGCGAACGGGGAGGAGCCCAGAGCCUGAAUCAGCAUGUGUGUUAGUGGAAGCGUCUGGAAAGGCGCGCGAUACAGGGUGACAGCCCCGUACACAAAAGCGCAUGUGCUGUGAGCUCGAUGAGUAGGGCGGGACACGUGGUAUCCUGUCUGAAUAUGGGGGGACCAUCCUCCAAGGCUAAAUACUCCUGACUGACCGAUAGUGAACCAGUACCGUGAGGGAAAGGCGAAAAGAACCCCGGCGAGGGGAGUGAAAAAGAACCUGAAACCGUGUACGUACAAGCAGUGGGAGCACCCUUUGGGGUGUGACUGCGUACCUUUUGUAUAAUGGGUCAGCGACUUAUAUUCUGUAGCAAGGUUAACCGAAUAGGGGAGCCGGAGGGAAACCGAGUCUUAAUUGGGCGUUAAGUUGCAGGGUAUAGACCCGAAACCCGGUGAUCUAGCCAUGGGCAGGUUGAAGGUUGGGUAACACUAACUGGAGGACCGAACCGACUAAUGUUGAAAAAUUAGCGGAUGACCUGUGGCUGGGGGUGAAAGGCCAAUCAAACCGGGAGAUAGCUGGUUCUCCCCGAAAGCUAUUUAGGUAGCGCCUCGUGAAUUCAUCUCCGGGGGUAGAGCACUGUUUCGGCUAGGGGGCCAUCCCGGCUUACCAACCCGAUGCAAACUGCGAAUACCGGAGAAUGUUAUCACGGGAGACACACGGCGGGUGCUAACGUCCGUCGUGAAGAGGGAAACAACCCAGACCGCCAGCUAAGUCCCAAAGUCAUGGUUAAGUGGGAAACGAUGUGGGAAGGCCCAGACAGCCAGGAUGUUGGCUUAGAAGCAGCCAUCAUUUAAAGAAAGCGUAAUAGCUCACUGGUCGAGUCGGCCUGCGCGGAAGAUGUAACGGGGCUAAACCAUGCACCGAAGCUGCGGCAGCGACGCUUAUGCGUUGUUGGGUAGGGGAGCGUUCUGUAAGCCUGUGAAGGUGGCCUGUGAGGGUUGCUGGAGGUAUCAGAAGUGCGAAUGCUGACAUAAGUAACGAUAAAGCGGGUGAAAAGCCCGCUCGCCGGAAGACCAAGGGUUCCUGUCCAACGUUAAUCGGGGCAGGGUGAGUCGACCCCUAAGGCGAGGCCGAAAGGCGUAGUCGAUGGGAAACAGGUUAAUAUUCCUGUACUUGGUGUUACUGCGAAGGGGGGACGGAGAAGGCUAUGUUGGCCGGGCGACGGUUGUCCCGGUUUAAGCGUGUAGGUGUGUGUUCCAGGUAAAUCCGGUUCACUUUAACACUGAGGCGUGAUGACGAGGCACUACGGUGCUGAAGCAACAAAUGCCCUGCUUCCAGGAAAAGCCUCUAAGCAUCAGGUAACAUCAAAUCGUACCCCAAACCGACACAGGUGGUCAGGUAGAGAAUACCAAGGCGCUUGAGAGAACUCGGGUGAAGGAACUAGGCAAAAUGGUGCCGUAACUUCGGGAGAAGGCACGCUGACACGUAGGUGAAGUGAUUUACUCACGGAGCUGAAGUCAGUCGAAGAUACCAGCUGGCUGCAACUGUUUAUUAAAAACACAGCACUGUGCAAACACGAAAGUGGACGUAUACGGUGUGACGCCUGCCCGGUGCCGGAAGGUUAAUUGAUGGGGUCAGCGCAAGCGAAGCUCCUGAUCGAAGCCCCGGUAAACGGCGGCCGUAACUAUAACGGUCCUAAGGUAGCGAAAUUCCUUGUCGGGUAAGUUCCGACCUGCACGAAUGGCGUAAUGAUGGCCAGGCUGUCUCCACCCGAGACUCAGUGAAAUUGAACUCGCUGUGAAGAUGCAGUGUACCCGCGGCAAGACGGAAAGACCCCGUGAACCUUUACUAUAGCUUGACACUGAACAUUGAGCCUUGAUGUGUAGGAUAGGUGGGAGGCUUUGAAGCGUGGACGCCAGUCUGCGUGGAGCCGACCUUGAAAUACCACCCUUUAAUGUUUGAUGUUCUAACGUGGACCCGUAAUCCGGGUUGCGGACAGUGUCUGGUGGGUAGUUUGACUGGGGCGGUCUCCUCCUAAAGAGUAACGGAGGAGCACGAAGGUUGGCUAAUCCUGGUCGGACAUCAGGAGGUUAGUGCAAUGGCAUAAGCCAGCUUGACUGCGAGCGUGACGGCGCGAGCAGGUGCGAAAGCAGGUCAUAGUGAUCCGGUGGUUCUGAAUGGAAGGGCCAUCGCUCAACGGAUAAAAGGUACUCGGGGAUAACAGGCUGAUACCGCCCAAGAGUUCAUAUCGACGGCGGUGUUUGGCACCUCGAUGUCGGCUCAUCACAUCCUGGGGCUGAAGUAGGUCCCAAGGGUAUGGCUGUUCGCCAUUUAAAGUGGUACGCGAGCUGGGUUUAGAACGUCGUGAGACAGUUCGGUCCCUAUCUGCCGUGGGCGCUGGAGAACUGAGGGGGCUGCUCCUAGUACGAGAGGACCGGAGUGGACGCAUCACUGGUGUUCGGGUUGUCAUGCCAAUGGCACUGCCCGGUAGCUAAAUGCGGAAGAGAUAAGUGCUGAAAGCAUCUAAGCACGAAACUUGCCCCGAGAUGAGUUCUCCCUGAGACUUAGAGUCUCCUGAAGGAACGUUGAAGACGACGACGUUGAUAGGCCGGGUGUGUAAGCGCAGCGAUGCGUUGAGCUAACCGGUACUAAUGAACCGUGAGGCUUAACCUUACAACGCCGAAG
Molecule: ribosomal RNA, 2924 nt
Filed under: Salmonella enterica subsp. enterica serovar Hvittingfoss
Lineage: Bacteria; Pseudomonadati; Pseudomonadota; Gammaproteobacteria; Enterobacterales; Enterobacteriaceae
Description: 23S ribosomal RNA
Rfam family: Bacterial large subunit ribosomal RNA
Source: RNAcentral